GGAAGCACAGUGGCCAUGGAGAGUUAAGGAUAGAAAGACAGUAUGCUUGGCAAAGCAGGCUGAUAAUUAGGAUGCCGAUUUAUCUCUGACAGGUCUGUCUCAUGGACUCUGUAGUCAAAAGAAGCAACUCUGGGAAGAACGGGGAAUGUCUCAGACCAGCAGGAGCUCCCAUCUCACUCGGGACUGACUGUUUCUCAAUAGGCAGUUUUUCAAAAUCCUCUGGAAUCACUUUGAUCCAGAUUAUUCACACUGCGUAAACUACUGGCCCGUCAACAGCUAUCUUGUCUCAGUCACCAAAGUAAUUCUUCAGUACCAAGGCCCAAAUGUUCAACUCGUCUUUACACACCCAUAAUCACAGAGCAGAAGAGCGGUAAUUCCAGCGUUUCUGACAUGGCGGAGAGGAGCCAGGAAACACUUCCUUAAAGUGAAAGCAAACAGUCCAACCCACUCCUUCUGGAAAAUCCUCUGGACUCCUGGAAAUCACUCCUUCCUCGCGGAGUCAACUUUAACCCUCUCCUGCAAGCAGAUAAGAAAAUGCAUCUUGCAAGUGAAGAGGAACCAACUGUAAUCCUCAAUUAUCUCCCCUCUCCGCAUCCACCGAACAGCCAGGCUAACUUCUGAUCUUUACUAGAAAGCUGCGUCAAGAGAGUAGAAGCAGAAGCGGAACUGAAAGAUUAAAAUCGCUCUGUGUCAAAGUAAAAAGCAGACUAUGGGAUGGGAGGCCUGAAGGGAGUGGGGAGUGAGAACGAGAGCCGGUAACAGAAUACAUCGGGAAAGCCGAAGUGGGACUG
Molecule: long non-coding RNA, 791 nt
Organism: Alexandromys fortis (reed vole)
Lineage: Eukaryota; Metazoa; Chordata; Mammalia; Rodentia; Cricetidae
Exons: 3
Source: RefSeq, a predicted model, not a curated record